This is a non-coding RNA of Paramuricea clavata, 98 nucleotides long. Lineage: Eukaryota; Metazoa; Cnidaria; Anthozoa; Malacalcyonacea; Plexauridae. The record is from the annotation of a GenBank genome assembly.
GUUUGUGGGAACACCACGUAAAUUUAUUACUGCAAAGCUUUACGGAUCGAAAGCUUUGCAGUAAUAAAUUUACGUGGUGUUUCCACAAACAAAACCUA